RNAcentral lists this ribosomal RNA (2868 nucleotides) under human gut metagenome. Its description in RNAcentral is "bacterial LSU rRNA". It matches the Rfam family "Bacterial large subunit ribosomal RNA". The record is from RNAcentral.
GAAACGAAAUAAGGGCAUACGGAGGAUGCCUAGGCUCUGCAAGGCGAAGAAGGACGUGAUAAGCUGCGAAAAGCUGCGGGGAGGUGCAAAUAACCCUUGAUCCGCAGAUGUCCGAAUGGGGCAACCCACCAGCAAUGGUACCUCGGAUGAGGAGCGAACCCUCUGAACUGAAACAUCUAAGUAGGAGGAGGAAGAGAAAACAAAAGUGAUACCGCAAGUAGUGGCGAGCGAACGCGGCACAGCCCAAACCCAUGGCGUUUCGGCGUGAUGGGGGUUGUAGGACUGCGAUAUAUGACUACGCAAAGAAUUGGAACGGCAUGGAAAGGCCGGUCAGAGAGGGUGAGAACCCCGUACAAGUAAAGUGCGUAGGAGUUAGCAGUAUCCUGAGUAGAUCGGGGCACGAGAAACCCAGAUUGAAACGGGCGGGACCACCCGCCAAGGCUAAACACUCUGCAGAGACCGAUAGCGAACCAGUACCGUGAGGGAAAGGUGAAAAGAACCUUGAAUAAAGGAGUGAAAAAGACCCUGAAACCGUGUGCCUACAAGCGGUCGGAGCGGCGCGAUGCCGUGACGGCGUGCCUUUUGCAUAAUGAUCCUACGAGUUACUGUUACCGGCAAGGUUAAGCACUUCAGGUGCGUAAGCCGCAGCGAAAGCGAGUCUUAAAAGGGCGUCAAAGUCGGUAGGAGUAGACGCGAAACCUUGUGAUCUACCCAUGGCCAGGUUGAAGUGGGGGUAACACCCCAUGGAGGACCGAAUCGGUAAGCGUUGAAAAGCUUUCGAAUGAGCUGUGGGUAGGGGUGAAAGGCCAAUCAAACUGGGAAAUAGCUCGUACUCCCCGAAAUGCAUUUCGGUGCAGCGUCGGAGCGAGUUUUACAUAGGUAGAGCUACUGAUUGAAUGCGGGGGCUUCACCGCCUACCAAUUUCAGACAAACUCCGAAUGGUGUAAAACAUCUCCGGCAGUGAGGGCAUGGGUGCUAAGGUCCGUGCCCGAGAGGGAAACAACCCAGACUAUCAGCUAAGGUCCUUAAAUGUAUGCUAAGUUGCAAAAACGAAGUAGGACUGCACAGACAGCCAGGAUGUUGGCUUGGAAGCAGCCAUUCAUUUAAAGAGUGCGUAACAGCUCACUGGUCGAGCGGUUCUGCAUGGAGAAUAAGCGGGCAUAAGUGUACUACCGAAGCUAUAGCAAAGCAAUUUGGGUAGGGGAGCAUUGCGUAUGCGGCGAAGCGGACUUGUAAAGGUCCGUGGAGCGUACGGAAAAGCAAAUGUAGGAAUAAGUAACGAGAAAGCGGGCGAGAAACCCGCUCACCGAAAAACCAAGGGUUCCCCGGCUAUGUUAAUCAGCCGGGGGUCAGUCGGGACCUAAGGCUAAACCGAAGACAGGUGAUGCCGAUGGACAAACGUUUAAUAUUACGUUACUGGAAUAGAGUGCGACGGGGCGACCCGGUACUACCUCUCCGCGCGCAGACGGAAUAGCGCGUUAAAGGUCAAAGCGGGCCGUGCGGCAAAUCCCACGGCGGAAAGUGAUGACCGACAGUACGCGGCGGCUUCGGCCAAAGCGAUAGCGAGACGAAAAGCCGGCAAGAAAAACCUCUAAGCUUCAGCUUUAUUCCACCCGUACCGUAAACCGACACAGGUGGUUGGGAAGAGAAUUCUAAGGUGCUCGAGAGAAUCAUGGCUAAGGAACUAGGCAAAAUAGUCCUGUAACUUCGGGAAAAAGGUCACCGCAGCGAUGCGGUCUCAGGAAAAAGGUCCAGGCGACUGUUUAACAAAAACACAGGACUUUGCUAAAUCGAAAGAUGAUGUAUAAGGUCUGACACCUGCCCGGUGCUGGAAGGUUAAGAGGAGAUGUGAAUCGCAAGAGGCAGCAUUGAAUUGAAGCCCCAGUAAACGGCGGCCGUAACUAUAACGGUCCUAAGGUAGCGAAAUUCCUUGUCGGGUAAGUUCCGACCUGCACGAAUGGUGUAACGAUCCGGACACUGUCUCAGUCAUGAUCUCGGUGAAAUUGUAGUAUCGGUGAAGAUGCCGAUUACCCGCUGCGGGACGAAAAGACCCCGUGAACCUUCACUACAACUUAAUAUUGUUUUCGGGUAAGUGAUGCGUAGGAUAGGUGGGAGGCUGUGAAGCGGUUACUCCGGUAGUCGCAGAGCCAUUGUUGAAAUACCACCCUUUACUUAUUUGGGAACUAACUCCGCAGAGAGCGGAGGACACUAUUUGGUGGGUAGUUUGACUGGGGUGGUCGCCUCCAAAAAGAUAACGGAGGCUUCCAAAGCUGCCCUCAGCACGCUUGGUCAUCGUGCGUAGAGUGCAUUAGCAAAAGGGCGGUUGACUGCAAGACCUACAAGUCGAGCAGGUGCGAAAGCAGGGUAAAGUGAUCCGGUGGUUCCGUAUGGAAGGGCCAUCGCUCAAAGGAUAAAAGGUACUCCGGGGAUAACAGGCUGAUCCUCCCCAAGAGCUCACAUCGACGGGGGGGUUUGGCACCUCGAUGUCGGCUCGUCACAUCCCGGGGCUGGAGAAGGUCCCAAGGGUUCGGCUGUUCGCCGAUUAAAGUGGCACGCGAGCUGGGUUCAGAACGUCGCGAGACAGUUCGGUCUCUAUCUGCAGUGGGCGUUAGAAAUUUGCGUGGAUCUGACUCUAGUACGAGAGGACCGAGUUGGACGCACCUCCGGUGCACCGGUUGUCGCGCCAGCGGCAUCGCCGGGUAACCGUGUGCGGAAGGGAUAAGCACUGAAAGCAUAUAAGUGCGAAACCCACCACAAGAAAAGAUUUCUUUAUAAGGGACGUGGGAGACGACCACGUUGAUAGGCUACAGGUCUAAAGGCAGUAAUGUCAAAGCCGAGUAGUACUAAUCUCCCGUAACGUUUUAGCUU